GGGAGGAUGACGGAGCGGCGAACGGGUGAGUAACACGUGGGCAACCUGCCCCUAGCUCUGGGAUAAGCCCGGGAAACCGGGUCUAAUACCGGAUAUGAGAUCGGAAGGCAUCUUCUGACCUGGAAAGUUUUUCGGCUGGGGAUGGGCCCGCGGCCUAUCGGCUUGUUGGUGAGGUAACGGCCCACCAAGGCGACGACGGGUAGCCGGCCUGAGAGGGCGACCGGCCACACUGGGACUGAGACACGGCCCAG
RNAcentral lists this ribosomal RNA (251 nucleotides) under uncultured bacterium. RNAcentral describes it as "partial 16S ribosomal RNA". It matches the Rfam family "Bacterial small subunit ribosomal RNA", at positions 81 to 334 of the family's 1533-position model. The record is from RNAcentral.